This 440-nucleotide ribosomal RNA is filed under the name uncultured bacterium. RNAcentral describes it as "partial 16S ribosomal RNA". It matches the Rfam family "Bacterial small subunit ribosomal RNA", at positions 338 to 795 of the family's 1533-position model. The record is from RNAcentral.
CCUACGGGAGGCAGCAGUGGGGAAUAUUGGACAAUGGGGGGAACCCUGAUCCAGCGACGCCGCGUGAGUGAAGAAGUAUUUCGGUAUGUAAAGCUCUAUCAGCAGGGAAGAAAAUGACGGUACCUGACUAAGAAGCCCCGGCUAACUACGUGCCAGCAGCCGCGGUAAGACGUAGGGGGCAAGCGUUAUCCGGAUUUACUGGGUGUAACGGGAGCGUAGACGGUGCAGCAAGUCUGAUGUGAAAGGUCGGGGCCCAACCCCCGGACUGCAUUGGAAACUGUUGAACUGGAGUACAGGAGAGGUAACCGGAAUUCCUGGUGGAGCGGUGAAAUGCGUAGAUAUUAGGAGGAACACCAGUGGCGAAGGCGGGUUACUGGACUGUAACUGACGUUGAGGCACGAACGCGUGGGGAGCAAAAGGGAUUAGAUACCCGAGUAGUC